GCGGGUGUGGCGGAAUGGCAGACGCGCAAGGUUUAGGACCUUGUGACCCAAAAGGUCGUGGGGGUUCAAGUCCCUUCACCCGCACCA
This 87-nucleotide transfer RNA is filed under the name bacterium. RNAcentral's name for it is "tRNA-Leu". It matches the Rfam family "tRNA". Rfam says of the family: Transfer RNA (tRNA) molecules are approximately 80 nucleotides in length. Their secondary structure includes four short double-helical elements and three loops (D, anti-codon, and T loops). The record is from RNAcentral.